UAUAUUUUAACUUUGGAACAAGAAUCUUCAAUUUAGUCAGAAUUUAGAAUUUUCUGUUCAUAGUUUUUGAAAAUUACAUAUAUAUUUUCUAACAAAAAUGAUUUGUUUGGCAUGUACAAACAGUUCAGCGAGUUAAGAGACAGCGGCUAUGCUGGCUAGGUCAAGUCGUUCGAAUGGACUCGAAAUGACUUCGAUGGAAAGACCAAGUGGAGAAGGACCUGGUGGCUACACUUGGAAUCUCCAAUUAGCGCCAAACAAGAAGAACUACUGGC
Long non-coding RNA from Bactrocera neohumeralis, 272 nucleotides. RefSeq lists it as uncharacterized. The transcript has 2 exons. The record is from RefSeq and is a predicted model, not a curated record. Lineage: Eukaryota; Metazoa; Arthropoda; Insecta; Diptera; Tephritidae.